UAGCUCAGUGGUAGAGCGCUUGCCUAGCAAGCACAAGGCCCUGGGUUCGAUCCUCAG
Molecule: transfer RNA, 57 nt
Filed under: Rattus norvegicus (Norway rat)
Lineage: Eukaryota; Metazoa; Chordata; Mammalia; Rodentia; Muridae
Also listed under: 1 other name
Rfam family: tRNA
About the family: Transfer RNA (tRNA) molecules are approximately 80 nucleotides in length. Their secondary structure includes four short double-helical elements and three loops (D, anti-codon, and T loops).
Source: Rfam by way of RNAcentral